This 408-nucleotide ribosomal RNA is filed under the name uncultured bacterium. RNAcentral describes it as "partial 16S ribosomal RNA". It matches the Rfam family "Bacterial small subunit ribosomal RNA", at positions 28 to 526 of the family's 1533-position model. The record is from RNAcentral.
GACGAACGCUGGCGGCGUGCUUAACACAUGCAAGUCGAACGAAGUGGCGAACGGGUGAGUAACGCGUCAUCAACCUGCCCUUCAGAGGGGGACAACAGUUGGAAACGACUGCUAAUACCGCAUACUGAAGGAGGGGAUUGCGUCUGCUUAGCUAGUUGGUGGGGUAACGGCUCACCAAGGCGACGAUCCGUAGCUGGUUUGAGAGGACGACCAGCCAAACGGGGACUGAGACACGGCCCAGACUCCUACGGGAGGCAGCAGUGGGGAAUAUUGGACAAUGGGGGAAAGCCUGAUCCAGCCAUCCCGCGUGUGCGAUGAAGGCCUUCGGGUUGUAAAGCACUUUUGGCAGGAAAGCGGUACCUGCAGAAUAAGCACCGGCUAACUACGUGCCAGCCGCCGCGGUAAUAC